Molecule: transfer RNA, 74 nt
Filed under: Marmota monax (woodchuck)
Lineage: Eukaryota; Metazoa; Chordata; Mammalia; Rodentia; Sciuridae
Description: tRNA.Thr
Rfam family: tRNA (bases 12-67)
About the family: Transfer RNA (tRNA) molecules are approximately 80 nucleotides in length. Their secondary structure includes four short double-helical elements and three loops (D, anti-codon, and T loops).
Source: RNAcentral
GCUGGGAAUACAGCUUAGUGGCAGAGCAUUUGCCUAGUGUGCACAAGGCCCUGGGUUCAAUUCCCAGCACUGCA